RNAcentral lists this ribosomal RNA (468 nucleotides) under uncultured bacterium. RNAcentral's name for it is "partial 16S ribosomal RNA". It matches the Rfam family "Bacterial small subunit ribosomal RNA", at positions 28 to 507 of the family's 1533-position model. The record is from RNAcentral.
GACGAACGCUGGCGGCGUGCUUAACACAUGCCAGUCGAACGGAAAGGCCCUGCUUUUGUGGGGUGCUCGAGUGGCGAACGGGUGAGUAACACGUGAGUAACCUGCCCUUGACUUUGGGAUAACUUCAGGAAACUGGGGCUAAUACCGGAUAGGAGCUCCUGCUGCAUGGUGGGGGUUGGAAAGUUUCGGCGGUUGGGGCUGGACUCGCGGCUUAUCAGCUUGUUGGUGGGGUAGUGGCUUACCAAGGCUUUGACGGGUAGCCGGCCUGGGAGGGUGACCGGCCACAUUGGGACUGAGAUACGGCCCAGACUCCUACGGGAGGCAGCAGUGGGGAAUAUUGCACAAUGGGCGGAAGCCUGAUGCAGCAACGCCGCGUGCGGGAUGACGGCCUUCGGGUUGUAAACCGCUUUCGCCUGUGACGAAGCGUGAGUGACGGUAAUGGGUAAAGAAGCACCGGCUAACUACGUG